UACGGAGGGUGCGAGCGUUGUCCGGAAUCACUGGGCGUAAAGGGCGCGUAGGCGGCCGAGCAAGGUCGCGGUGAAAGCCCGGGGCUCAACCCCGGGUCGGCCGUGGCAACUACUCGGCUCGAGCACUGUAGGGGCGGGUGGAAUUCCGGGUGUAGCGGUGGAAUGCGUAGAGAUCCGGAAGAACACCAGUGGCGAAGGCGGCCCGCUGGGCAGUGGCUGACGCUGAGGCGCGACAGCGUGGGGGAGCAAACAGG
Molecule: ribosomal RNA, 254 nt
Filed under: uncultured bacterium
Lineage: Bacteria
Description: partial 16S ribosomal RNA
Rfam family: Bacterial small subunit ribosomal RNA
Source: RNAcentral